Long non-coding RNA from Ixodes scapularis (black-legged tick), 2418 nucleotides. RefSeq lists it as uncharacterized. The record is from RefSeq and is a predicted model, not a curated record. The transcript is spliced from 4 exons. Lineage: Eukaryota; Metazoa; Arthropoda; Arachnida; Ixodida; Ixodidae.
AUCAGUCGCGGCGUCACAGCUGACGACUACCUGUCCGAUUGGUUCAUCGACAUUCCACGUCUCCAGCGGAGGACUACAAAAGCUCGGAACUCAAGCAACGGCGCUUCACUUGGCAGCAGCGGCAGCGGCACAACGCAUCACCUAAUUGUCUCCUGUAUUUACCGCAGGACAUUGCCCGGCGAGCAAAAAAACCGAAGUAACUGCCGAAUUCAUCUGCAUUUUCGCUGACACAUCGUUGCCGGCACAAGCAAGAUAGAAGCCUUCGCACGCCCUCGUAUCAGUUGCGGCGUCACAGCUGACGACUACCUGUCCGAUUGGUUCAUCGACAUUCCACGUCUCCAGCGGAGGACUACAAAUGCUCGGAACUCAAGCAACGGCGCUUCACUUGGCAGCAGCGGCAGCGGCACAACGCAUCACCUAAUUGUCUCCUGUAUUUACCGCAGAACAUAGCGAAAGAAUAGAUUGUCUUUCUGCAUGGAAGAAGAAGACAAUACAAACCAAGAGUUGUGAGUCAGCGCCGACGUAAGUGGUGAGGCUUGGACACAGGCUGUGCAGCUUGAACGCAGUUUCACGGAGGACGUUGCUGCUGUUGGCCGGUUGGCGACGCCCUGGUCGCCGAUUACAGCUUCGCUGGAGACUCAUGAGAGCGGCGGCAAUGGCUAUUGGACUGACUUUGCAGAAAACACCUCGCCAUGGAAGCGUGAGCCAUCAGCCGAGUCUGCGGUGAUCGAGGCGUCCGUCCAUCUGAUGCCUGUCCCUUUACGCUGGCUGGGUGGCCGUGUCCCGAUCAACAGAGAAAUCUGUACGAUGAAAAGUGGUUUGAGCAUGUCGCGUAGGUUGCCACACCCACUGUCGGAACUGGAAGCCUGUUGUGCAGAUUUUUACUUUAUGUUGUUUCCGUUAUUCUUUCUUUUUGCGUCUUUCAUAACGGACAAUCCUUCUGCGUUAAGAGGGUAACAAGCAUUGUAAUCUCGGUAUUGCUGCCAAUCCUGCAGGUGGCAUCCUCGGUGUGCUUUUAAAUAAGUAUAUCACACAAUCGUGGAUCGGCCGUGAGCACAUACCCUGGGAACUGGGUGUUUAGGAAAUAUUCAUUUUAAUCACGCAAUCAUUACCUUUGUCUUCAGUUAGAAUGAAAAAAAAGAACAUUCGUCACGAUGGACAAUUUUAGACAUCCGUGGCAUGUCUGAUCUGAGCAUUUGAUCUUUUCACCUGGAAUGUGUCUAGCAGGUACGACCUUGAGGAUAGAAGAGAUGGUGCAACGGAGUACGAGCAGUGAAACGCGUGUAGACUUGUGCCGUCGAGCUCGUGCCGACGGGCAUGAGUAGCUUUGUUAUCUUUGGCGGUGCCGUGGCUGAAGCAAUAGAAUGCCACAGAGCUCCCCUCCUAGAGCCGUCGGCUGCUGCUCUGCAGACUGCGGGGGACGGCACGAUUCGGUUUGCAGUGGUUGCGCCUCCAGAAAGGCGUUCAUGUACUGCGAGCAGGGCGGCGAAGUAUAGAGCAGGAAAAACGGCUUUCGGAAGACGUUCAGGGUAGUUGACGCUGAGGUCGGGCAAUGAGGCGGAGGACAUGGGGGAAAUCGACCCGGUCCUUCUGUGGGUCCGGCUCGGUCAGCACGAUGUGUGCAGCCUCGGACUCAAGGAGGGAUGCCGGCCGACAGCAGUGCCGAUGCAACAUUCCGGAAGAAGAGGAACCGAGCGGAAAGCGAAUGCCUGACGUAGCAACAACGAGACCCUUGUCACCUAGCGAGGUGCCUUUUUGUGAACAGUUCAGUAACGUCGAUGAAUGUUCACUUGUGGAGCCGGAGGGGCGAGCGAUUUGGUAGCAGCACAUUGCUAGGAGAUUCCGGUGCUAGAUGCAACGGGACAGAGGAGUUGACGGAGGCGCUGUGGGUGCGGAGGCUUUGAAAGUGGAAGAUCCGCCUACUCCAUUUUCGCCCAGAAAGGCCGAGCCGUUGCCAUGCCCCGGGCAGCGAUGAACGUUCAAUUGGAUGACUGGCGCUCGGAGUCGAUCAUCAUGUCGGGGUUACAAUUUGUAUCGCAUUCGACGUCGAGGAUGGAAGAGAUGGUGUGACCAACUCCGAGUUUAGCUGUGAAAACGUUCUGUUUCUUCCCGUAUCGUCGAGCUCGUUCCGACGAAUAAAUAGCUUGCUUUUAAUCACUGCAGUCAUUACGAUAUAGUUCAUGUAAGUGUUUUGCAACACUCGUUUUUGACGGUGCCGACACUGAACAGAUAGACCACCACAGGCCCAUAUGUGUAUCUGUUAAAUAUAUUAAAUGCCUUUUUGCAUUGUUGUGUGUUUCAUCUUUGUCUUCCAGAGUUUAGUGCUCACCUGUAGUAAUAAAUGUCAAAUUUCAAUCUUUCAUGCUUAAAAUGAAGCUCUAUCAAACAAAUAGGAAUUUAAUUAAACUAGUAAUUGGG